Molecule: unclassified non-coding RNA, 405 nt
Filed under: soil metagenome
Description: partial contains 5.8S ribosomal RNA, internal transcribed spacer 2, and large subunit ribosomal RNA
Rfam family: 5.8S ribosomal RNA (bases 1-121)
Source: RNAcentral
GAUGAAGAACGUAGCAAAAUGCGAUAAGUAGUGUGAAUUGCAGAAUUCAGUGAAUCAUCGAAUCUUUGAACGCACCUUGCGCCCUUUGGCCAUUCCGAAGGGCAUGCCUGUUUGAGUAUCAUGAACACCUCAACUCUUUAUGGUUUUCCAUGAUGAGCUUGGACUCUGGGGGUUUUGCUGGCUCACAGUCGGCUCCUCUAAAAUGAAUCAGCUUACCAGUGUUUGGUGGGUAUCAUGGGUGUGAUAACUAUCUACGCUUGUGGUUUUUCCACCAGGUAACCUUCAGCAGUGGAGGUUCGCUGGAGCUCAUAGAUGUCUCUCCUCAGUGAGGACAGCCCUUUGAAUGUUUGAUCUCAAAUCAGGUAGGACUACCCGCUGAACUUAAGCAUAUCAAUAAGCGGAGGA